RNAcentral lists this ribosomal RNA (468 nucleotides) under uncultured bacterium. Its description in RNAcentral is "partial 16S ribosomal RNA". It matches the Rfam family "Bacterial small subunit ribosomal RNA", at positions 28 to 507 of the family's 1533-position model. The record is from RNAcentral.
GACGAACGCUGGCGGCGUGCUUAACACAUGCAAGUCGAACGGAAAGGCCCUGCUUUUGUGGGGGGCUCGAGUGGCGAACGGGUGAGUAACACGUGAGUAACCUGCCCUUGACUUUGGGAUAACUUCAGGAAACUGGGGCUAAUACCGGAUAGGAGCUCCUGCUGCAUGGUGGGGGUUGGAAAGUUUCGGCGGUUUGGGAUGGACUCGCGGCUUAUCAGCUUGCUGGUGGGGUAGUGGCUUACCAAGGCUUUGACGGGUAGCCGGCCUGAGAGGGUGACCGGCCACAUUGGGACUGAGAUACGGCCCAGACGCCUACGGGAGGCAGCAGUGGGGAAUAUUGCACAAUGGGCGGAAGCCUGAUGCAGCAACGCCGCGUGCGGGAUGACGGCCUUCGGGUUGUAAACCGCUUUCGCCUGUGACGAAGCGUGAGUGACGGUAAUGGGUAAAGAAGCACCGGCUAACUACGUG